AUGGUAAUUCCCAGAAUCACCUUUGCUCUGUCCCUACAGGAAAGAGCGAUGGACCAUGAGAAAUCCCAGCUCAGAGUAUGGAGCUCAGGAGUAAGAGAAUGUAUGAAAGAACAGAUGAACAGAUUUGAGAGAUUGGUGAAUGUUGAUGGUCUCUUUAAGUACUCUGAUGACUUUAAGGAUGAUUCAGCAGAAGGAAACAGCGUAGGAAGAGUAUACUCUGAGAAGGAGGAGGCAUUGCCAGCCAUUCCCUAUCACUUGCUAAAAAUCUCUGUGAAUCACAGAAGCAUCUUUGGCAAAGUAAAAUUAAGUGAGUUGGCACCAUUGACAUUUUAUAUCAUACACUUCCUGGACUACUGGCUCAUAAAGCACCAUGUCCAACUCUGAAGUCUGCUUCACAACACUUGAAAGGUGAACUGGUCAACACCCCUCUGCAGUUUUAACACCCUGUCCACUACUUAACCAGACUGUUAUCUUCCCCUGACUUGACUGACAAACCUCAGUGCUUUCCAGCUGGAUUUUUCCACUGAUCUUGCUUUGAGCAGCCUACAGUUAUGCAGUAUCCCUCAGCUAAGAAUCAGGUAAAAUAAAACCUUUUAAAAAUCUUUUCUAAAUUAUUUUUAGAAAUAAAUUUUCAGUUAUGAUAUAUUACUUUGAACAGCAAUUAUAGUAAAAUAUCUUUGUUCGUGAUUUGAUUAGAUAUUUAACCAUCAAGCUUGAUAAAACUGAUAUUUUAGGUAGAAGGGAAGUCUCAUCAUAAAAUAAUGACAAUGCUUGCAUUACUUGACAAUGUUUGGGUGCUAUUUGCAAACUUCUUCUAAAUUGGAAUUUUAAAGUUGCUUUAAAAAAAUUGUAAGAAUGUCAGAUUUUUUACAGAAAACCCAAAAUGAAUACUUAAAAAACAAAUAUGGAGAAGUACUAUAUUGUGUUUUAAAAAACAGCCCUAUCAUAGAAAACUACACCCCAUUGCAAUGAGCACACCCAACUCCCAGAUCUUGGUUUCUAAUACCAUUCUCUACUAAAAGAAAACAGAGCUCUUUGGAGAAAUGGCUGAUUCCAGGAACCAGGCAUGAAAAAUUCCAGAAGAGCCUGCUGAAUGCCAGAAAGUAAGGAAAUGGUGAAAAACUAAAUAACAGCAACAACAGUAACAGCCAACCACCAACUAACCAAACCAAUGAAAUUCCAAAAGGGUUCCCAAUGGCCAAAGGUGGAACAGUUUGAGUAACAAAAUGAAGUAGUGUCAGAAUGUAACUAAAAUAUAUAUUCACGUGUCCAUACUGAUACAUAUAGAUGACUGAAUAAUUUGGGAGAGAACAGACAUGUUUCCCUUGGAGACUAAUUCCAAAUAAUUUAUGUAGCUACUCUACAUUCAAGGAAGUGGAAUGAAACUCCUCUUUCAUUAAAGUAUUUGCCUCACAUAGUGAUUUUCUUCCAAGGAGACAGUAUGAAAUGGGAGAGAAAAGAGUGAUUUUACAAUGGAGAAACCUACAAAACACUAUUAUUCUGCUUUUUAUUGUUUUUACCCAAUGCCCCUUUUCUGUUCUAGUAUCCCAUCUAGUAUAUUGCACUGCAUUUAUUUUUCUUACUCCUAAGGCUUUUCUUGGCUAUGACAAUUUUUCAGAAUUUUCUUGUUUAUUGAUGACCUUGACAGGUAUGAAGUGUACUGGUCAGGUAUCUUGUAGCAUGCUCUUCUAUUGGAACUUCCUUGUUGUUUUUCUCAUAAUUACAUGGGGAUUAUGGGUUUUUGAGAGGAAGACGUAAAAUGCCAUUUUCGUCAUGUUAUAUCAAGGGGCUACGUAUCCUUGAAUACAGGUAGCAGUAUAACUUACCAAUAUUGAUGUUGAGCUUGAUCACCAGGCUCAGGCAGUGUUUUUCAGGUUUAUUCACUGUAAAGUUCCUCUCGUCUCCCCUUUACAUACUCUUUGGAGGGAAGCUACUAUGUGCAGCCCGCACUUAAGGAAAACUGAAUGUUGGUCAGAUGGAAGUUCUCUGCUUUAUCUUCAUAAUUGUUCUAUAAAUACAAAACUGUUCUAAAAUAAAAGGUUUAAUUAAAAAAAGAGUCAGCCCUACCACUUCACAUAAUCAUCACUAUAUAUUGCAGAGGCUGAUGAGAAAAGAAAUUCAACACAAUGGCUUCUACAGAGGAAAUACUACUUAUUCCGUCUGUUCAAAAGCCCCGAAAACUUGCCACUGCAAAGUAAAUCAGUUAAAACCUUUGGUCACACUGGAUUUCCUUCCACGUUACAUUAGCCCCAGGAAGACAAAUCCUAAGCAUAAGAAUGGCAAAUGAAGACUUGCACUAUAAAAAUGCUAAUAGUGUUGUGAAAAUCAGAAAAAAGAUAGUGUUUUUGAUCUUACACAGGUCACCGGUCCCUAUACAAAGCAUUAACUGAUCUACUGUUGGCUCCUCACACCAUCUAAACUAUUUAGCAUGAUUCCUAUUUUAGAUUUCUUGUGUUUGAUAGAGCUCCGUGGGUAGAGAUAGGCCAGUGUUCACUACUCUUGCCCAAAAUAGCUAAGCUGAACUGCUUUUUCCUUUGAAGGUAUAUACUUAACUAGGUGUAACAUCAGCACAUACAGAAAAUUCUUAAUUCUGAAAAGUGUUUAAAAUCUAUGCUCUUUCAUCCAGAAUUUAUACUUUUGAAAAAGCAUAUGUAAAAUAUGCCCUUCUCAUAGCAAUUUUUGUCUGGCUAAAAUAAUCUCACAUGAAGUCCUUUUCUAGUCAAAUUUUCAAUUCACACAGAUUUGCCUCUUUUUUCCUUUAAGGAUGAUCAAAUAUCCAAAAUCAUCAUUUUGCACGUUAAUGAUUAUGUUCCCAGGGAUGUGAACGAACAAAUACUGUAAAAGCAACAUUGGUGUAACUGAAAUAUGUUGAAAAACAUUAAGUUUACUCUGCCCCCAGGGCUCCUCUGUGAGGAUACCUUGUAGUUUGUAAUUAGUGGUAGACAAGUGACAGCUGCCUACUUACUAUAUUCCUGAGUUGUGUGUAUAUGUAAAACACCUGUGUAGUAAAGCGAAUCACCUUCAAAGAGCAAAUAAAUAUGUGGAUGAAUCUCUGCUUGGGGUCUUCAGUGCUGGAGAGCUGGAAACCCCGCAGGCUCUCAGGCUGUUAGUCCCCAGAUUAUCUCCACUGAGUUGGCUGUCUGGGUGUUUGCCUCUCACUGGUCUUCAGCCCACUUGGAUGGGAAUCUCCCAGUCAAGCUGAAGCUCGGCAACUGGCACCCAGUGGGGAUUCCAGCCCAGGACGAAGAGUUGCCGAGCAACAGAGAAAGGAAACGCAAGGCUGAAGGUAUUCCGAGUACGUUGGAAAGUAUCCCCAGGGCAAACUGGGGAGCUCGGAAGGAAUCCCGCGAACGUUUUUAAGUAUCGCCCUGGUGAAUUAGUGGGAGCCCAGAAGACACGGGGGAGACUCCCAGGUGACUUAGAGAGUACCCAAGGUAAGGUCGAGAAUGUUAGAGGAAGAAUCUCCCAGGGAUAGCUGGGGGAGCUUGGGAUCAGCCCCAGGAUGUUAAGGCGAAGUAUCUCCCAGGGGGACAGCUGGGGGAGUUCGGCCAUAUUGGAGUAACUUGGGGAAAAAAGUAAACAUGGGCUUGUUUGGUGUAGUCUGUUUGGGCUUUGGUGUGUUUUGCCCUGGAGCUGUUUUAGACCCAGGAGGAGGGAAAGGACUCACGGCAAAAAUGAAGUAAACCCGGGGCUUAUUUGGUGUGGUCUGUUUGGGUUUGGUGUGUUUUGCCCUGGACCUGUUUCAGACUGACCGGGAGGAAGAUGAUUCAGAAGAUUCGGGAGAGGAGGAGGAGUGUGGUAAGUAUGUAAAGAAGUUAUAGAGCAAAAAGAUGAAAUAUCAAAUAAGGAAAAAAAUCUACAGUAACCAGUUGAGGAGCUCAUACUCCUAGGUCUAUGGUAACAUAUUCUAUCUAGGCCAGAAUUCAAGUAAGAAAAGAGGAAAAUUUGGAGGCAUGGUAAUUUCCAGUUGUGUAACCUCAAGAUUAGCCAGGGCAAGUACUAGUUGCUUUUGAACCCCUUCCAUUCAGAUUGUGGAGAGAGCUUAAGCAAGCCAUCACUGAUGAUGGGCCUGAGUCUCUGUUUGUUCUAUAAUUAUUCAUGAAAGGAGCUAUUUCUUGCCAGCUGAUUCCAGUAGAUCUGAUUUCGUGAGAUGGGUUGAGGGGCUGCCUCGGGCUCCAAUCCAAACCGAGGCCUAUCAAGGUCGAGCUAUUCCCUCAUCCCUAUACAAUGCUUGUUCCUUGCCACAGCUGGGAACGCAGCAGUAGAUUUGUGCAGCUCUCAAAGGGUAAGCAUUUUACUGGGAGAGCCACGGCAAAAAAAAUAUCUGCAGGAGUUUGUGACCGUUUACCCCUGGAACUGUGAGCUUGCUUCUAGGAAGAUCUAGUCUUGCUGCUCAAGUCGAGUUCAUACAGGAGUUAUUGAUGGGGACUUUUUAGGGGAAAUUGAAAUUGUAGUGUCUUCUUCCGUUUCCUGGUGUGUUGAGCCUGGGAACACAUAGCACAGCUUUUGGUUAUACCAUAUGAAAACAUAGGAGGAGGUGAAACUAGAAAAAUGAGAGGCUUUGGAGGUACAGACAGAUAAGACGAGCAGCAUAUUAGUAAAUCAAAUUACUGGUAAAUGUCCUACAUGUGAGAUUAUGACUCAAGGAAGGAAAUUUAAAGGACUGGUAGAUACUGGAGCAGAUGUUUCUAUGAUUUCAUUCCAACACGGGCCACUUUCUUGGCCCAUGGAAAAUGCUUAGUUCAGUAUUUCAAGUUCUGGGUUACAUGUGCAGAACAUGCAGUUUUGUUACAUAGGUUUAUACGUGCCGUGGUGGUUUGCUGUGCCCAUGAACCCAUCAUCUACAUUAGGCAUUUCUCCUAACACUAUCCCUCCCCAGCCCCUACCCCUUGGCAGGUCCCAGUGUGUGAUGUUCCCCUCCUGUGUCCAUGUGCUCUCAUUGUUCAGCUCCCACUUAUGAGUGAGAACAUGAGGUGUUUGGUUUUCUGUGCUUGUGUUAGUUUGCUGAGAUUGAUGAUUUCCAGCUUCAUCUAUGCCCCUGCAAAGGACAUAAACUCAGAUCUGAUGGUUUUUUAUAAAAAACCAUGCCUGCUGCUAUGUAAGAUGUGCUUUUGCUCCUCCUUAGCCUUCUGCCAUGAUUGUGAGGCCUCCUCAGCCGUGUGAAAGUAUGAGUACCCUAAACCUCUUUUUCUUUAUAAAUUAUUAUUGGGUAUGUCUUUAUUAGCAUCUUGAGAAUAGACUAAUACACAUGGAGAAGGUAAUUUUAAUUUUCAAUUUUAAAAAAAUUCUUAAAUUCUGUUUCUCAC
Long non-coding RNA from Callithrix jacchus (white-tufted-ear marmoset), 5306 nucleotides. The record is from Ensembl. NCBI's taxonomy places the organism in Eukaryota, Metazoa, Chordata, Mammalia, Primates, Cebidae.